Molecule: ribosomal RNA, 241 nt
Filed under: uncultured bacterium
Lineage: Bacteria
Description: partial 16S ribosomal RNA
Rfam family: Bacterial small subunit ribosomal RNA
Source: RNAcentral
CACGCAGUAAACGAUGAUUACUAGGAGUUUGCGAUAGACAGUAAGCUCCCGAGCGAAAGCGUUAAGUAAUCCACCUGGGGAGUACGCCGGCAACGGUGAAACUCAAAGGAAUUGACGGGGACCCGCACAAGCAGCGGAGCAUGUGGUUUAAUUCGAAGCAACGCGAAGAACCUUACCUGGACUUGACAUCCCCUGAAUGACUCGUAAUGGAGGAAGCCCUACGGGGCAGGGAGACAGGUGG